RNAcentral lists this ribosomal RNA (536 nucleotides) under Salmonella enterica subsp. enterica serovar Kentucky. Its description in RNAcentral is "bacterial SSU rRNA". It matches the Rfam family "Bacterial small subunit ribosomal RNA", at positions 979 to 1515 of the family's 1533-position model. The record is from RNAcentral. Lineage: Bacteria; Pseudomonadati; Pseudomonadota; Gammaproteobacteria; Enterobacterales; Enterobacteriaceae.
UCUUGACAUCCACGGAAGUUUUCAGAGAUGAGAAUGUGCCUUCGGGAACCGUGAGACAGGUGCUGCAUGGCUGUCGUCAGCUCGUGUUGUGAAAUGUUGGGUUAAGUCCCGCAACGAGCGCAACCCUUAUCCUUUGUUGCCAGCGGUUAGGCCGGGAACUCAAAGGAGACUGCCAGUGAUAAACUGGAGGAAGGUGGGGAUGACGUCAAGUCAUCAUGGCCCUUACGACCAGGGCUACACACGUGCUACAAUGGCGCAUACAAAGAGAAGCGACCUCGCGAGAGCAAGCGGACCUCAUAAAGUGCGUCGUAGUCCGGAUUGGAGUCUGCAACUCGACUCCAUGAAGUCGGAAUCGCUAGUAAUCGUGGAUCAGAAUGCCACGGUGAAUACGUUCCCGGGCCUUGUACACACCGCCCGUCACACCAUGGGAGUGGGUUGCAAAAGAAGUAGGUAGCUUAACCUUCGGGAGGGCGCUUACCACUUUGUGAUUCAUGACUGGGGUGAAGUCGUAACAAGGUAACCGUAGGGGAACCUGC